AGUGAACGCUGGCGGUAGGCCUAACACAUGCAAGUCGAACGGCAGCACAGUAAGAGCUUGCUCUUACGGUUGGCGAUUGGCGGACGGGUGAGGAAUACAUCGGAAUCUACUUUUUCGUGGGGGUUAACGUAGGGAAACUUACGCUAAUACCCCAUACGACCUACGGGUGAAAGAAGGGGAUCUUCGGACCUUGCCCGAUUGAUUGAGCCGAUGUCGGAUUAGCUAGUUGGCGGGGUAAAGGCCCACCAAGGCGACGAUCCGUAGCUGGUCUGAGAGGAUGAUCAGCCACACUGGAACUGAGACACGGUCCAGACUCCUACGGGAGGCAGCAGUGGGGAAUAUUGGACAAUGGGCGCAAGCCUGAUCCAGCCAUACCGCGUGGGUGAAGAAGGCCUUCGGGUUGUAAAGCCCUUUUGUUGGGAAAGAAAAGCAGCAGGUUAAUACCCCGCUGUUCUGACGGUACCCAAAGAAUAAGCACCGGCUAACUUCGUG
RNAcentral lists this ribosomal RNA (492 nucleotides) under uncultured bacterium. RNAcentral's name for it is "partial 16S ribosomal RNA". It matches the Rfam family "Bacterial small subunit ribosomal RNA", at positions 29 to 507 of the family's 1533-position model. The record is from RNAcentral.